CUGUCACAUCACAUUUGAAACACCGGUUCCCGUAAGAUCAUCGAAGUUAAUCAAUGUCGAGCCUGAUCAGGACGUAGAUAAGUGGCCGCUUGAGAAUACCUGGUGCUACAAG
This is a non-coding RNA of Acanthosepion pharaonis, 112 nucleotides long. The record is from the annotation of a GenBank genome assembly. Lineage: Eukaryota; Metazoa; Mollusca; Cephalopoda; Sepiida; Sepiidae.